CAGAGACUUGCUAUGCUGCCCAGUAUGUUUGGCUCCAGAAGUUUAGAUUUUAAAGGAUCCCAACCGUGCCGUGACCAUGGAGCAGUAAGCAAGAUGAAAGUGGCGGGUAACCUGGCUGAGCUCCCAGUCCAGACAGCGGGGGAACCCACCAUUCUAACCCCUGCCAUCGCCUGUGGCAGGGACAGCCCUGGGGCCACCACAACCCAGGUUGGCAAGAGAAGUCGGAGGCCGAUUGGCGUAGAGACUUCGUGGGUGUAGAAGCUUCCAGUUUUGUCUUUUAGGCCGUCCCCGCCAAGGCCUGCAUUGUACUGAGCAGGAGACUGGAGACUACUGUAGAGGCCACCAGUAAAAAGGAGAAUCAAGGGAGGGAGGAAGCGAAAUCAGGGCCUCGCACUUUCCAGGCAGGCACUGUACCAUUGAGCUAUAUCCCCAGCCCCAGAAUCUCCUUGCUUUUGAUGGUUUCUAGGAAACCCCAGGAUUUCAUGGGAAGCCCACGACGUGGAGAGCAAGCGGGAACAGUGGCCUGGAUCCUGACCGGGGACCCAUCCUGGCUUGGGGAACCAGGCUGGUCUGGGGCAGGUUUGGGUUAGGAAAAGCUGUAUUCAUAAUUACAUGUAUAAAACUUAUGUGAUCCAAAAUGCGGGAAUUGCUGACGUGCUGGAAAGACCCAGGCUAAUUCGGGGGUUGGGUUGUUCAGACAGUUCCUGAGAGGAGUUUUAGAAAUCUCCCCCUCAGUGGUUCUCCUGUCAAUGUAGCCAACCUAGACUCUCCCCGAGAGACUCCUCGAAUUCCCAGAAAUAUAUCAUGGUGGGGGUCCUGAUACUGGACAGGGGACAGACCCUGCUCCUGAUGGAUGGCUGCGGUGCCCUCCCUGGGCCUGGGACCAGUGGAUGCCCCCCAAAAUGGAGCCGUGGUCUGGUGGCUCAGUCUAGUCUCACACAUAACUGGUCUGUUCCUUCGGCCUUUCACUUUCCAGGAGAGCCUCACUCC
Molecule: long non-coding RNA, 990 nt
Organism: Fukomys damarensis (Damara mole-rat)
Lineage: Eukaryota; Metazoa; Chordata; Mammalia; Rodentia; Bathyergidae
Exons: 5
Source: RefSeq, a predicted model, not a curated record